CAUUUGGAAACUGAAAAUCUGUCAAUAACACCAGCAUUGCUACAGAGCAUAUUGUGUACACUCCUCGGUGUCAACAAGCAGGGCACAUGUUUGCCAGUGUCACCAAAACAUUGGGCGUGUUCCUCGCUGUCAGCAGAAAAGGGGCGAAACCUACUUUUGAUGGACAAAAAGGCUCACUGGAGGACCAGAAGGAGACUUGUCCUCCUGCCAUUCGGAGCUCCCCUAUUGGUGAAUGCGGAAGUUGGGCCAUGAGGUUCUGAAGUUCCUGCCCCUCCCCUCUCUCAAUGAAGAUUGAGCUUCACUCAGACUGCAGCUUCCUUCCUCUGUCCAACAUCUGGCCACCAGAAGCCUUCUCAGUACUCUACAAGUGACUUCACCAACAUCCUGUACACCUUCAACAUGAUGUCCCAACUCCUUUAUUCAAUGGUGUGAACAAUUAAGCUACCCGAUGAAGGAGCAGCGCACCGAAAGCUAGUGCUUCCAAAUAAAUCUUUUGGACGAUAACCCACUGUUGUGAUUUUUCAACCUUGUCCCACCUAGUCCAACAGCAGCACCUCCACCUCCUUUCUAAUGAACACAGCCCAUACCUCCCGGUGCUGCCAGUAAACUGCCGAUGAAAUGAUGCAGUGCCUGCACUCCUGAAAAGUUUAUAAUUUCUAACGAAACCAGCUACUCAUUCACUGCUCCAUCUGGUACACGACUUUGGAAACUUAGUGCAGGAGGCUGCAAGAAAUGAGCAGCUUUAAAACAAAAACCGCUUGGAGCUUUCAAUGAGAGCCUGAGCCCAGCAGUACGUUCUGGUUACCUUUAUUGUGGCCCAACAUUGUUACAGCUGCAGAUGCCCCCAGCAAAAGGGCAGAGAAAGAGUAGCUGUGUUUUAGACAGCUCAACAACAGGGGGAGGUGCAAGGGGCAGGGCAAGGCCAACAGCAGGCCCCCGCACUACGCCUGCGUUGCCUUGCACAGUUUACAAAAAUCCCUUCCCCUUCAGAGACUCCCCACAGUGUGGAAGCUGGCCACUCGACCCAAAGACUACACACCGAUCCUCCAAAGGGUAACCCACCAUGCAAUUCCCCUACCCCUAUUGCUCAACAUUUACCCCUGACUAAUGCACCUAACCUGCACAUCCCUGGGCACUAUGGGUAUUUCAGUACUGUCAAUCCACCUGAACCUGGACAACUCGUAUAUGCCAACCAGAUAUCCCAACCCAAUCUAGUCCCACCUGCCAGCACGGGGCCCAUAUCCCCCCAGUUGCCUUUUAAAUGUUGCAAUUGUAUCAGCCUCCACCACUUCCUCUGGCAGCUCAUUCCAUACACGUACCACCCUCUAAAUGAGAAGGUUGCCCCUUAGGUCUCUUUCAUAUCUUUCCCCUCUCACCCUAAACCUAUGCCCUGUAGUUCUGGACUCUCCCAUCCCAUAGAAAAGACUUUGUCUAUCUAUCCUAUCCAUGCCCCUCAUGAUUUUAUAAACCUCUAUAAGGUCACCCCUCAGCCUCUGACGCUCCAGGGAAAAUAGCCCCAGCCUGUUCUGUCUCUCCCUAUAGCUCAAAUCCUCCAGUCUUGGCGACAUCCUUGUAAAUCUUUUUAGAUUAGAUUAGAUUACUUAGUGUGGAAACAGGCCCUUCGGCCCAACAAGUCCACACCGACCUGCCGACGCGUAUAUCACCCAGACCCAUACUCCGGGGGUUUGCAAGGACUGCCACAAACACUACGUAGGACAAACAGGAAGAAAGUUAGCCACCAGGAUACACGAACACCAGCUAGCCACAAAAAGACACGACUUUCUAUCCCUCGUAGCCCAACAUACGGAUGAAAGAAAACACCACUUCGACUGGGACAACAUCUAUCCUGGGACAGGCUAAGCAAAGACAUGCCAGAGAAUUCCUAGAGGCCUGGCACUCCAAUCACAACACCAUAAACAAACACAUAGAUCUAGAUACCAUCUAUCAACCCCUCAGAAAAUGAACAGGAAAUGACAUCACCACAAACCCCAGGAACCCUAUCCAGGCCAAACAUAUAAAUCGAAAGCAGGAGACAACAGCUUCGCUUCAUUUGGAGGUCGCCACUGAUGAUGUUCCCGAGCCAGGUAAUGAAACGUCUGGAUAUCAAACCUACAGCUCAGCGAGCAAACCUACACCCUAAUCCUCAACCUGAGCUACAAACCUUGCAAAGUAGAAUGUAUUUGCAAACAUCAUGCUGCAAAUACAAACCCACCCCCAUGGAUGAUCUAUCUCGUGUGUGCAUGAGAUAGAGAAACAGUCUAUUUCCGUGCUGUUUAUCUCUAUUUGAUAACCGUUGCUUUAUUUCUGUUGGUGUAAAUGUUGUUGUAAUUCAUAGCUGGAUCCUCAUAGGUGUAAGGGUGACAGAAUUCCUCAAGUAGGGCACUGGAAGAUUCCUGGGAGACCCCUAUUUCUGGUUUACUUCCUCAUGAACAAACAUUAAGCACGUGUACCUAUUUAUUUACGAUUUUGUUUUAUUUUUCUUGUUUGAUUCCCUGCUAUGACUACACCUUGUAUUAGGAUAGUUGACAGGCUGGGAGAUUGUGGCUUGGGUCUUGAUUGAAUAUUUUAUCGUUCCAGAAGUUAUAAAAGGCGGGGUCAAAGCUUUAGCAGAAAUCCAGCAGAGCUGAGAACAGACCGACAUCUUAGUCUGUGGGAACAGGGAGAUCAACAGAGGAUAGAGAAAUCAGGUCCUGAAACCAGACCACCCUGUGAUCAGUGCUUUGAUUAGAGGCAUCCUUCUACAUCAGUCAAUGCCAGUUGUCAGACAGGUGCAGCAAGGCAAGUGGUAUAUUAGCAGGCUGAACUGAGAUUAGAAGUGGGGAUGUCUUCCUGCAGUUAGGGAGUCAUUGAAUUUAUUCAAGGCUGAGUUCAUCUGAUUUUUGAACAACAAAGUGUGGAUUUUUAUGUUGUGUGGAUGAGGUGUGUUUUUUUGUGGUUUAUGUUUUGGAUACAGGAAGAGUAGACAUUUUUAAAGUGGAAGGCAAGAAAAUGGUUUUAAGACCACGACAGAACAGUUACGGUCAGACAGCACAGAAACAGACCCUUCAGUCCAACUAUUCCAUGCUGACUAUGUUCUCAAACUAAACUAGUGCCACUUGCCAGUGUUUGGCCCAUAUACCUCCACACCUUCCCUAUUCAUGUACUUAUCCACAUGUCUUUUAAACUUUGCAUCUGAACAUGUAUCCACCACUUCCUCUUUACAUUCACUCAAUACAUGAAACACUCUGUUAUAAACAAACUUUUCCCAAUUCUGUCCAUUCCAUGGAUUCAUUCUCUUUCCUUUCAGUUGCUGCAAGUCAUAAAUUGAAGCCCAGAAUGAAAUAAAUGGAAAAGGAGUUGUGAAGAGAGUACCCUACUCACAGAUGGUUGACACAGUAAGGAGGGUGGAGUCUGGAGCAAACCCGAAAUGUCGAUUUUCCUGCUCCUCGGACGCUGCCUGACCUGCAGUACUUUGCCAGCACCACUCUAAUCUUGACCCUGAUCUCCAGCAUCUGCAGUUCUAACUUUCUCCUGUAAGAAAUCAGCAGUUUUAAACCAAAAACCUGUUGCAGUUUAAAGCUCUCAUUGAGAGUAUGAGCUCAGUGUGAAGUUCAGGUAAUCUUUAUUGUGACCCAACUUUGUUACAGCUUCAGAAUCUCCCAGCAGAAAGGUGUAGAAAAAGUAGCAUUUUUUUCAAAACAGCUCAAGGUCAAAGUGCAACUCCUCACUUUCUUCAUUAUUGGUCACCACUGAGUUGUCCCUUUGUAAUUGGAUCCUUGGUGUAGCCUUAAUCUGGAGGAAGUAUUGCCUCACUCAGCAAUUUCAACCUGUAUCCAAGUAAGUUGGAUGAGCAGCAUAGAGUCAACCAGACUAU
Hemiscyllium ocellatum (epaulette shark) is the source of this 3853-nucleotide long non-coding RNA. RefSeq lists it as uncharacterized. The transcript has 3 exons. NCBI's taxonomy places the organism in Eukaryota, Metazoa, Chordata, Chondrichthyes, Orectolobiformes, Hemiscylliidae. The record is from RefSeq and is a predicted model, not a curated record.